Molecule: non-coding RNA, 3080 nt
Organism: Oryctolagus cuniculus (rabbit)
Lineage: Eukaryota; Metazoa; Chordata; Mammalia; Lagomorpha; Leporidae
Source: RefSeq, a predicted model, not a curated record
GCGGAAGCCAUGGAUGAAGCGCGUGCUGUCUAAUGCCGCAAAAGCGACGUGGCUCUGGGCUCUGCGCAGGCGCGGAAAACGGAGCAUCCCGGGAGUAGUAGUUCCUAGGGGAACCCCAAGUGCAUGACGGGAGUUGUGGUUCCCGCCGAACGUUAAGCCAAAAGUUACGUGAGGAGGGACGCACCCGUCUUUUGAGAUAUGGGUCAGCCGUCGCGGCUUGCUUUAUGGCUGUUGAGAAAAAUGAUGAAAUGAGGUAGAUGAGUGGCCCCUGGAGUGUCCACCGAGGAUUUCCAGUCGGACGCUGUGGCGAGGUGAGGCUUGUGAGGAGCUCAAGCAUCCUGCGAGCAUUCAGUCUGAAUGGGAUGUGACAGCGGGGUCUACCGCGCCCCGCUGGACUAAGUGAACGGACGCCGGGUCCAUCGAGAGCUUAGCGCAAGGCGGCUGGAACCGACGCGAGCAGGAGAAAAUGAGUUCCACCCGUGGUGGGUGCAGGAAACAAUGUGUCCCCGCGCGGCCCGUGUAGGGUUGCAGAUCCCAUUUCCCCAUUAACGAAAGCCAUUGCAAAGGUGGACGCUCAGGGGGAACUCCAGCGGGCGUGGGCCGGGGGACGCACACCCUUCCCAGCCGGGUAGGUAUUGUGGGACCUGGGCUCCCGGCUCUUCCAGGUUUGUCAAGACAAGUCAUAAAGGCAGGUUAUUUUAUAGGAAAAUUUCCACUUUAAAAAAUGUGGUAGAUAAGUGAAAACCCCAAAAUGUGUGGCUCAAGUUAAAACACUUCUGCCAGCCCGAAGCCGCUGGCCGCCCGGAGGCUCCCAUGUGCAGUCCAUGUCUUGAAGCAGGUGGCAUGGUUUUAAAAUGUGCACGUGAUUGAAUGUAGGGGUGUGACUGAGUAACAACACGAGCCAUCCACUGGCGCUGAAAGGUAGAAAAAUAUUACAGGGGAUGGGGCCCGAGGCACUGUGGCGUAGGGGGUAAAGCUGCUGCUUGCGAAUGCCUGCAACCCAAACGGGCAGGCUCUGGUUUGAGUUUCAGCUGCUCCACUUCGGAUCCAGCUCCCUGCUAACGUGCCUGGGAGAAGCAGCAGAGGAUGGCCCAGGUCCUUGAGCCCCUGCACCCACAUGGCAGUCCCAGAUGGAGUUCUAGGCUCCUGGCUUCAGGUUGGCCCAACCCCAGCCAUUGCAGCUAUUUGGGGAGUGAACCAGGGAAUGAAAGAUCUCACUCACUGUCUCUGUCACUCUUUCAAAUAAAUAAAUCUUUAAAAUGCCUGUUGCAAUUCUACAUUGACAUACAGGGCUACAUGCACCCUCAGACACACAGAGGCCAGGGACCAAGUCCUUAUUACUAGUGUGGCAGGGAGUACCUGGGUGGAGACAUUUUUGGUUGUGUGAGGAGUGAAAAACAGAGGUGUUAGGGUUGCUGCAUGGAAAGUUCAAAGCAUGAUGUAGGUGCAGCCUGGAAAGCCAGACCACUGGGAAAUGUCAACAAUUUGGGCUGUUAAGUUUGGCCUUGUGAUCCCUGGAAGCCGAAUCCAUCUACUACAAAAUCUGUGAGAGAUGGUUAGAAUAGUCACUUAGCUAGGGAUCACGGGAGAUCAAACUGGAAAGGCAGCAGGACCUGAAAGGAUUCUCUGUGCUUUGCUGAGGAGUGCAAGAAAUUUACCCAGAAUGCAACAAGACAUUCCAGUUGGGGGUGGCGUGGAUGAUUAAUUGGCAGAUCUGCAGAUAACCAUGACCUGAGGGGAUAAAAGACUAUAGGUGGGUGUCUUGCUGCAUUUAGACAAAAAGUGCUCAGGGUCUAAUUCAGGGACAGAAGUAGAUAUGGAAAGGAGGGCAUGAACUUGAGAGAUAUUUAGAAAUUAAAAUAUAUAGGAUGUGAUUGUAAUCAAGGGCAUAGCAUUUAGGGCAAGAGAGGGACACGAGGAGAGAAUGUGAAAUGGUUGCUUGCUUGAGUUCAAUUCUCAGAGGACUUUCCAGGAAAGCUUAUCUUGCAGUGUUGCCCCUAGUGUGGGCCAGACCCCCAAACAAGGCAAGCUGCAAACCAGUCUGAGUUAAGAGUUUGUCUCUAAGGAUGUUCAAGGAAAGCUUAUCAUGCAACAUGGUAUUCAGAAGGGGCCAGACCCCUGCAAAUAAGAAAGCUGCAAGAAACCAGUCUGAGUCCUUCCGCACCCUGGGCACUUCCCUAAUCCUUGCUGUGAAAGCCCUGGAAACCUGCUUCUCAGGGAGGUAGUUUCUUAGGGAGCUAAACCUUCCCACUGUCUCCUUCACAGUCACAAAGCCUUCCUCCGAGAAACUCCAGCUCAAGGCUGAUGAUCUGGCAACACCCCAAGUGGACAGACCCCUUGUGUCCACCAGCAUGACUGGUUAACUUGACGUGGUAACCAGGAGAGUACCAAGGCUGCACCCCAGGCAGCUGGUAUGGGAAACUGGGGAUAUGAAAGUGCCAUUAAGUGGGAGAGGGGUAGGGACUGCAGACCUAUUGGGAAAAAGUGGCCAGAAUGAAAACUGUCUCCCUUUUCUAUGUGUUGAAGUUCAGGUGCUUCUGGUUCAUCUGAAAGCUUAUUGAAGCAGGUCUUAGAGUAACCCAACACAUGGUAGGUUUUCAUUGGAGAGCCAUGUGGAAACAGGAGAUUGCAAAGUAAUAGAGCCCAUGAAGAGUGAGCAGAGAGGAAGUCAUGGAGAAGCUUAAGAAGGAAGAGUCAAACACUGAGUGAGACAGACACGCCCUGGAAGUGAUCAAGGAUGUUCUGUAGCGGAGUGGCUCCUACGACCAGGCAUUGAGAAAACCAUUGUUUGCCUUCUGGCUUGAGCUAUCCCUGCUGGGAACUGAGAAGGCAUGGAAGGAGGAAGAGACAGACACGGGGAACCCCAGCCACAGAUGUCUUCAUUACGGAUUCCUGGGACGAUGCAGGCACGAGAACUGUAUGCAGCUCCCACACUGAGGAGAGGGUGACACCACUUCCCCAGGGAUGGAAUCAGCAGCUUCCCUUGCUCCUGAAUCUCCGUGACUCCCGGGCGGAACGCAGAGGAGGAUAUGCAGGUUCUGACGGCUCCUUGCUAAGAGGCCUUCUGCUGUGGAGUCAAC